This 253-nucleotide ribosomal RNA is filed under the name uncultured bacterium. RNAcentral's name for it is "partial 16S ribosomal RNA". It matches the Rfam family "Bacterial small subunit ribosomal RNA", at positions 524 to 776 of the family's 1533-position model. The record is from RNAcentral.
GACGAACCGUGCGAACGUUGUUCGGAAUCACUGGGCUUAAAGGGCGCGUAGGCGGCUCAUCAAGUCAGGGGUGAAAGCUUCCGGCUCAACCGGAAAAGUGCCUUUGAUACUGGUGGGCUUGAGGGAGGUAGGGGCAGAUGGAACUUCCGGUGGAGCGGUGAAAUGUGUUGAUAUCGGAAGGAACGCCGGUGGCGAAAGCGAUCUGCUGGAUCUCUACUGACGCUGAGGCGCGAAAGCUAGGGUAGCGAACGGG